CCUACGGGAGGCAGCAGUAGGGAAUAUUGCUCAAUGGGCGAAACCCUGAAGCAGCAACGCCACGUGGAGGAUGAAGGUUUUCGGAUUGUAAACUCCUUUUGUUAGAGAAGAUAAUGACGGUAUCUAACGAAUAACCACCGGCUAAAUCCGUGCCAGCAGCCGCGGUAAUACGGAGGGUGCAAGCGUUAAUCGGAAUCUCUGGGCGUAAAGAGCGCGUAGGCGGGAUAGCAAGUCAGAUGUGAAAUCCUAUGGCUUAACCAUAGAACUGCAUUUGAAACUGUUAUUCUAGAGUAUGCGAGAGGUAGGUGGAAUUCGUGGUGUAGCGGUGAAAUGCGUAGAGAUCAAGAAGAAUACUCAUUGCGAAGGCGACCUGCUGGAACAUAACUGACGCUGAGGCGCGAAAGCGUGGGGAGCAAACAGGAUUAGAUACCCGAGUAGUC
Molecule: ribosomal RNA, 440 nt
Filed under: uncultured bacterium
Lineage: Bacteria
Description: partial 16S ribosomal RNA
Rfam family: Bacterial small subunit ribosomal RNA
Source: RNAcentral